Molecule: long non-coding RNA, 281 nt
Filed under: Lathyrus oleraceus (garden pea)
Lineage: Eukaryota; Viridiplantae; Streptophyta; Magnoliopsida; Fabales; Fabaceae
Description: Pisum sativum (pea) long non-coding RNA (PSAT_LNC016580)
Source: RNAcentral
CUGCUCCAAACGGAGGGCUUUAAAUCUGGUACAAGAAAAAUAAACCUCUGACUCCUGAAGCUAAAGACGACAGCAACUCGAAGUGACCCAACUCAAUCUCACUAAGGUGCGAUAACCCCCCGAUGUGACGGAUUACCGCUUUUACAAAUGAUAAAUAUAUGCUUAGUAUAAACCUCUGACUCCUGAAGCUAAAGACGACAGCAACUCGAAGUGACCCAACUCAAUCUCACUAAGGUGCGAUAACCCCCCGAUGUGACGGAUUACCGCUUUUACAAAUGAUA